CCUACGGGUGGCAGCAGUGGGGAAUAUUGGACAAUGGGCGAAAGCCUGAUCCAGCCAUGCCGCGUGUGUGAAGAAGGCCUUCGGGUUGUAAAGCACUUUCAGUGGGGAAGAAAGCCUUGGGGCUAAUACCCUCGAGGAAGGACAUCACCCACAGAAGAAGCACCGGCUAACUCCGUGCCAGCAGCCGCGGUAAUACGGAGGGUGCGAGCGUUAAUCGGAAUUACUGGGCGUAAAGCGCGCGUAGGCGGUCUGAUAAGCCGGUUGUGAAAGCCCCGGGCUCAACCUGGGAACGGCAUCCGGAACUGUCAGGCUAGGGUGCAGGAGAGGAAGGUAGAAUUCCCGGGGUAGCGGUGAAAUGCGUAGAGAUCGGGAGGAAUACCAGGGGCGAAGGCGGCCUUCUGGACUGACACUGACGCUGAGGUGCGAAAGCGUGGGUAGCAAACAGGAUUAGAUACCCCAUAGUC
Molecule: ribosomal RNA, 464 nt
Filed under: Vreelandella stevensii
Lineage: Bacteria; Pseudomonadati; Pseudomonadota; Gammaproteobacteria; Oceanospirillales; Halomonadaceae
Description: partial 16S ribosomal RNA
Rfam family: Bacterial small subunit ribosomal RNA
Source: RNAcentral